AUGUUGGCCUGCAGUCAUGCUCUAGUUUAUUUACAGACAUCAAAAAGGAAGAGGGUGAUUGCUGAACCUGAAGGAGCACCAGCAAAGUCCUUGAAAAACGUGGUUGUGCCGGAGAAAUCAGACAGCACCCUAGUUAUAUUGGUUAUACAACCAGUAACACAAAACGUAGGACCGACUCCAGUAGACUGUACCCAUACUUCAUUGGCCACACCACUAGCCGCACCACACAGGACCUGCACUCCAGCAAAAGGUAUGCUGAUUUCAGUUGCCAUAGCACCAGCCGUACCACAGAAAAAUCCCACUCCAGCAAAAAGUACAGCAAGUCCAUCGGCCGAAGACCUAUCCCAACUACAAAGACGGCCAAUUCCUGCAGAUUGGAACCCCAUUCUAGUUAUUCCCAGUUUAAAAGACAAUGCUUUCAAUGUUGUUAGGGACUACGUGCAUAUAUUCCCAUCAUGGGAAGAUUAUAGUGAAGACAAACACCAUUUUCACAUCUUCCUGUCCCACUUACGUGCGAGGGUCAAUCUGGAUAGUCAUGACGAGCAAAGCUUGCUUAUGCUUUUCAAGGAAGCAUUGCAGCAGUAUUGGUGUUACCUGAGGAAAUCACACUUUGAUGGCAAGUCUCUAAACGAAUUUCUGGUGAAGUCUCCUGUGCUAAAUUUAGAAGACAUUGAAUGGAAAAACCUUGUUAUGCACUGGUCUCGUUCCGAGGAUGAGGAAAUCUGCUCGAAAAAGAAUUCCGGUUUGAAAAGAACGACAGGAUAUCGCAAAUAUGCUGCCCGCUGCUUUGCUCUUAAUAAAGGCAAUGCUUAUGAAGAAAAUUCUGUGGUAAACUUCUUGAAUUGCCCCCCAUCAGCAUGGACAAGGGCUUUAUAG
Molecule: ribosomal RNA, 876 nt
Filed under: Triticum aestivum (bread wheat)
Lineage: Eukaryota; Viridiplantae; Streptophyta; Magnoliopsida; Poales; Poaceae
Description: partial small subunit ribosomal RNA
Source: RNAcentral